AGUGAACGCUGGCGGUAGGCCUAACACAUGCAAGUCGAACGGCAGCACAGUAAGAGCUUGCUCUUACGGGUGGCGAGUGGCGGACGGGUGAGGAAUACAUCGGAAUCUACUUUUUCGUGGGGGAUAACGUAGGGAAACUUACGCUAAUACCGCACACGACCUACGGGUGAAAGCAGGGGAUCUUCGGACCUUGCGCGAUUGAAUGAGCCGAUGUCGGAUUAGCUAGUUGGCGGGGUAAAGGCCCACAAAGGCGACGAUCCGUAGCUGGUCUGAGAGGAUGAUCAGCCACACUGGAACUGAGACACGGUCCAGACUCCUACGGGAGGCAGCAGUGGGGAAUAUUGGACAAUGGGCGCAAGCCUGAUCCAGCCAUACCGCGUGGGUGAAGAAGGCCUUCGGGUUGUAAAGCCCUUUUGUUGGGAAAGAAAAGCAGCAGGUUAAUACCCCGCUGUUCUGACGGUACCCAAAGAAUAAGCACCGGCUAACUUCGUG
This 492-nucleotide ribosomal RNA is filed under the name uncultured bacterium. Its description in RNAcentral is "partial 16S ribosomal RNA". It matches the Rfam family "Bacterial small subunit ribosomal RNA", at positions 29 to 507 of the family's 1533-position model. The record is from RNAcentral.